RNAcentral lists this ribosomal RNA (813 nucleotides) under uncultured bacterium. Its description in RNAcentral is "bacterial SSU rRNA". It matches the Rfam family "Bacterial small subunit ribosomal RNA", at positions 24 to 853 of the family's 1533-position model. The record is from RNAcentral.
UCAGGACGAACGCUGGCGGCGUGCUUAACACAUGCAAGUCGAGCGGUAAGGCCUUUCGGGGUACACGAGCGGCGAACGGGUGAGUAACACGUGGGUGAUCUGCCCUGCACUUCGGGAUAAGCCUGGGAAACUGGGUCUAAUACCGGAUAUGACCUCAGGUUGCAUGACUUGGGGUGGAAAGAUUUAUCGGUGCAGGAUGGGCCCGCGGCCUAUCAGCUUGUUGGUGGGGUAAUGGCCUACCAAGGCGACGACGGGUAGCCGACCUGAGAGGGUGACCGGCCACACUGGGACUGAGACACGGCCCAGACUCCUACGGGAGGCAGCAGUGGGGAAUAUUGCACAAUGGGCGAAAGCCUGAUGCAGCGACGCCGCGUGAGGGAUGACGGCCUUCGGGUUGUAAACCUCUUUCAGCAGGGACGAAGCGCAAGUGACGGUACCUGCAGAAGAAGCACCGGCUAACUACGUGCCAGCAGCCGCGGUAAUACGUAGGGUGCAAGCGUUGUCCGGAAUUACUGGGCGUAAAGAGUUCGUAGGCGGUUUGUCGCGUCGUUUGUGAAAACCAGCAGCUCAACUGCUGGCUUGCAGGCGAUACGGGCAGACUUGAGUACUGCAGGGGAGACUGGAAUUCCUGGUGUAGCGGUGAAAUGCGCAGAUAUCAGGAGGAACACCGGUGGCGAAGGCGGGUCUCUGGGCAGUAACUGACGCUGAGGAACGAAAGCGUGGGUAGCGAACAGGAUUAGAUACCCUGGUAGUCCACGCCGUAAACGGUGGGCGCUAGGUGUGGGUUCCUUCCACGGAAUCCGUGCCGUAGCU